GGAACUAGCUCUUGUAGACCAGGCUGGCCUCAAACUCACAGAGAUCCGCCUGCCUCUGCCUCACGAGUGCUGGGAGUAAAGGAGUGUGCCACCACCGCCCGGCUCCCCAAGAUUUUCAUUUGGCCAUUUUCUUUUAGUGCAUCUGACAGCACGGGCGUGAUUUUUCCAUGCUGAAGUUGUAGCCUCGGUGGGGCUGGUCUUCGUUUCUUCUGCCUUCUCUCCCGCACUUCUCCAGGCUGUGCCGUCACUCUAGUUGUGUCAGGUGGCUGCCCAGAUGGUGGGGUGGAGAUGGGACUAGUGCUGCUCAGAGUCCGAACCUCAUGCCUGCGUGGUCCUGCUUUGUUUGUACUGGUUCCUUUCUCAGCUUGCUCUGACGUCUGCUUGGGUGCAAGCUUUACUUUUCUAGGAUCCACUAAUGGCUGCUGCAGGCCUGGAGGCAGCUAGGGACUGCUGCUGAGGCCUGGGAGCAAGCCCUGAACCAUACUCUCCCACAGGCACUGCUUCACUGGCAGCUACUCAGUCAUUGAGCCUUUGUUGAAGUACUUCCCUAACAUGUCGGUGGGCUUCACAGCAGUUCACUGACCUACUCCUCCCGCCUGGGAGGCCCGGGAUGCCUUAGACAGAUCCCCAUUGGAGAGGAUCAUUGUGGAAACAGACGCACCCUACUUCCUCCCUCGCCAGGCAGUGCAAAGCCCUACCCUGUAGAGGGUAGUCCAUGGAAGCGUGGGACCCCGCUCACCCAGAGCCCCCCAUGACUAGGACUCUCCCUGCACCUGCAGGUGCCGAGAAGCCUUUGCCAGUAUGCCCAUCCAGGCCUGGCCUUGCACACAGUUCGAGAGAUUGCCAGGGUCAAAGAGGAGUCACUUUCCCGUACUCUAAUGGUCCUCCGAGAGAACACCAGUCGCCUCUACAGUCUUUGAGCAGGGAGCAUGAGCAGGCAUCUUCUGGCAAAGGAUGACCAGUGGCCUGAUAGUAUAGGAUGGGCUCCCUCUGCCUGUGUCCGAGGUGAAGGAUGUGUUGGAGAGCCUGUCAAAACUCAGCAAACCAGGAUGGAAUAUUGCCCUUGGAACCUCAUCACAAGGCUUCACCUGCUGGUUGGUGGGUGGGUACUGUGAAAUGGAUUUGGGGAAAGGGGUAGUUUUGCCUGCUGGCCACAUGACCCCAGGGUUAUCAGUGAGCAAAAACAUUUGUGGCACAAGAGUCCAGUGAGUUGGCCAGUCUGGAUACCUGCCCAAUAACCUGGGUUUCCCAGCAAUCUGAAUAAAGUCACUUCUUUGUCUUAGCA
Arvicola amphibius (Eurasian water vole) is the source of this 1285-nucleotide long non-coding RNA. RefSeq lists it as uncharacterized. The record is from RefSeq and is a predicted model, not a curated record. The transcript has 4 exons. NCBI's taxonomy places the organism in Eukaryota, Metazoa, Chordata, Mammalia, Rodentia, Cricetidae.